This 463-nucleotide ribosomal RNA is filed under the name uncultured Lachnospiraceae bacterium. Its description in RNAcentral is "partial 16S ribosomal RNA". The record is from RNAcentral. Lineage: Bacteria; Bacillati; Bacillota; Clostridia; Lachnospirales; Lachnospiraceae.
CACGUAGUUAGCCGGGGCUUCUUGUCCAGGUACUGUCAUUUUCUUCUCUGCUGACAGGGCUUUACGCACCGGAGUGCUUCUUCACCCACGCGGCAUUGCUGCAUCAGGGUUCCCCCCAUUGUGCAAUAUUCCCCACUGCUGCCUCCCGCAGGAGUCUGGGCCGUGUCUCAGUCCCAAUGUGGCCGUCCACUCUCUCAAGCCGGCUACUGAUCGUUGUCUUGGUAGGCCGUUACCCUGCCAACUAACUAAUCAGACGCGGGCCCAUCCUGUACCACCGUUGGUUUCCCUGCUGUGCCAUGCGGCACAGCAGGCUUAUGCGGUAUUAGCAGCCAUUUCUGGCUUGUUCGUCCCCCGGUACGAGGGCAGGUUCGCCCCACGCGUUACUCCACCCGUCCGCCUACGUAGGUUUAUAUUAUCCUUCCCUCCGGAGUACGUUCCGUCAUACUAAACCCCGUUCGACUUG